This 1120-nucleotide ribosomal RNA is filed under the name uncultured organism. Its description in RNAcentral is "bacterial SSU rRNA". It matches the Rfam family "Bacterial small subunit ribosomal RNA", at positions 337 to 1449 of the family's 1533-position model. The record is from RNAcentral.
UCCUACGGGAGGCAGCAGCUACGACUCUUCCGCAAUAGUCGAUAGACUGACGGAGCGACGCCGCGUGAGUGCUGAAGGCCUUUAACGGUUGUAAACACUCUUUUAUAUUGGCCGAAUCUCUAGUCUUAGACUAUAUUGACUGUACUUAAUGAAUAAGGUCCGGAUUACUACGUGCCAGCAAGACGCGGUAAUACGUAGGGAACAGAGCGUAGUACGGAAUUAUAGGGCGUAAAGGGUAUGUAAGAGGUCUAUACAGUAAAAUGUGACAAAUCUGGGCUCAACCGAGAUCUUGCGUCUAAUACUGAUAGGCUAGAGUCUCUGAGAGGAAGGCGGAAUUCCUGGUGUAGGGGUGAAAUCUAUAGAUAUCAGGAAGAACACCGGUUGCGAAGGCGGCCUUCUGGCAGAGGACUGACGCUGAGGUACGAAAGUUAGGGUAGCAAACAGGAUUAGAGACCCUGGUAGUCCUAACCGUAAACGUUGUAUACUAGGUGGUUGAAGUAUUGAUCCUUUGACUGCCGCAGCAAACGCAUUAAGUAUACCGCCUGGGGAGUAUGCCGGCAACGGUGAAACUCAAAGGAAUUGACGGGGCCCCGCACAAGCAGUGGAGCAUGUUGCUUAAUUCGAUGAUACGCGAGUAACCUUACCAGGUCUUGACAUAUACCUGUCUGGUGUAGAAAUACAUCAUUGCUUCGGCACGGGUAUACAGGUGCUGCAUGGUUGUCGUCAGCUCGUGCCGUGAGGUGUUGGGUUAAGUCCCGCAACGAGCGCAACCCUUAUUCUUUGUUGCUAACAGGUUAAGCUGAGCACUCUAAGGAGACUGCCGGUGACAAACCGGAGGAAGGUGGGGACGACGUCAAAUCAUCACGGCCCUUAUGACCUGGGCUGCAAACGUGCUACAAUGGGUGGUACAAAGAGUUGCGAGACCGCGAGGUGGAGCUAAUCUCAAAAAACUAUCCUCAGUUCGGAUUGGAGUCUGAAACCCGACUCUAUGAAGUUGGAAUUGCUAGUAAUCGCACAUCAUCAUGGUGCGGUGAAUACGUUCCCGGGGCUUGUACACACCGCCCGUCACAUCACCCGAGUUGAAUAUACCCGAAGUACCUGAGCUAACGGUUUACCGGGG